CCCGGGGCUUGCGCCCCGGGCUAUGUACGGUCGCCCCUUCGGGGCU
Molecule: small RNA, 46 nt
Filed under: Singulisphaera acidiphila DSM 18658
Lineage: Bacteria; Pseudomonadati; Planctomycetota; Planctomycetia; Isosphaerales; Isosphaeraceae
Description: Acido-Lenti-1 RNA
Rfam family: Acido-Lenti-1 RNA
Source: Rfam by way of RNAcentral